CCUACGGGUGGCAGCAGUGAGGAAUAUUGGUCAAUGGCCGGAAGCCUGAACCAGCCAAGUCGCGUGAGGGAAGACGGCCCUAGGGGUUGUAAGCUCCUUUUAUAAGGGAAAAAGAAGUGCUACGUGUAGCUUUUUGCCUGUACCUUAUGCAUAAGGAACGGCUAAGUCCGUGCCAGUACCCGAGGUAAUACGGAAGGUGCGUGCGGUGAUCGGAUUUAAUUGGUGUAAAGGGAACGGUGGACGGUUGUUAAGGUUGAUGGGAAAUGGCCGGGCUCAACCCGGGAAUUGCAGUGAAUACUGGCAGGCUUGAGUCCCGUAGAGGCAGGCAGAAUUAGUGGUGUAGCGGUGAAAUGCUUAGAUAUGACGAAGAACACCGAUGGCGAAGGCAGCUUGCUGGACUGCGACUGACGCUGAGGCGCGAAAGCGUGGGUAGCGAACAGGAUUAGAUACCCGUGUAGUC
RNAcentral lists this ribosomal RNA (460 nucleotides) under uncultured bacterium. Its description in RNAcentral is "partial 16S ribosomal RNA". It matches the Rfam family "Bacterial small subunit ribosomal RNA", at positions 338 to 795 of the family's 1533-position model. The record is from RNAcentral.